UCUUUUUCCACCGGAGCUUGCUCCACCGGAAAAAGANGAGAGUGGCGAACGGGUGAGUAACACGUGGGUAACCUGCCCAUCAGAAGGGGAUAACACUUGGAAACAGGUGCUAAUACCGUAUAACAAUCNAAACCGCAUGGUUUUGAUUUGAAAGGCGCUUUCGGGUGUCGCUGAUGGAUGGACCCGCGGUGCAUUAGCUAGUUGGUGAGGUAACGGCUCACCAAGGCCACGAUGCAUAGCCGACCUGAGAGGGUGAUCGGCCACAUUGGGACUGAGACACGGCCCAAACUCCUACGGGAGGCAGCAGUAGGGAAUCUUCGGCAAUGGACGAAAGUCUGACCGAGCAACGCCGCGUGAGUGAAGAAGGUUUUCGGAUCGUAAAACUCUGUUGUUAGAGAAGAACAAGGAUGAGAGUAACUGUUCAUCCCUUGACGGUAUCUAACCAGAAAGCCACGGCUAACUACGUGCCAGCAGCCGCGGUAAUACGUAGGUGGCAAGCGUUGUCCGGAUUUAUUGGGCGUAAAGCGAGCGCAGGCGGUUUCUUAAGUCUGAUGUGAAAGCCCCCGGCUCAACCGGGGAGGGUCAUUGGAAACUGGGAGACUUGAGUGCAGAAGAGGAGAGUGGAAUUCCAUGUGUAGCGGUGAAAUGCGUAGAUAUAUGGAGGAACACCAGUGGCGAAGGCGGCUCUCUGGUCUGUAACUGACGCUGAGGCUCGAAAGCGUGGGGAGCAAACAGGAUUAGAUACCCUGGUAGUCCACGCCGUAAACGAUGAGUGCUAAGUGUUGGAGGGUUUCCGCCCUUCAGUGCUGCAGCUAACGCAUUAAGCACUCCGCCUGGGG
RNAcentral lists this ribosomal RNA (839 nucleotides) under Enterococcus durans. RNAcentral's name for it is "bacterial SSU rRNA". It matches the Rfam family "Bacterial small subunit ribosomal RNA", at positions 72 to 878 of the family's 1533-position model. Lineage: Bacteria; Bacillati; Bacillota; Bacilli; Lactobacillales; Enterococcaceae. The record is from RNAcentral.